GAUAAACGCUGGCGGCGUGCUUCAGGCAUGCAAGUCGAACGGACCUUCGGGUCAGUGGCGGACGGGUGAGUAACACGUAAGUAACCUGCCCAGAAGUGGGGAAUAACUAGCCGAAAGGCUGGCUAAUACCGCAUGUGAUGGCUUGUCCUUGGAUGGGUCAUGAAAGGAUUUAUUCGCUUCUGGAGGGGCUUGCGGUCGAUUAGCUUGUUGGUGGGGUAAUGGCCUACCAAGGCGACGAUCGAUAGCUGGUCUGAGAGGACGGUCAGCCACACGGGGACUGAGAUACGGCCCCGACUCCUACGGGAGGCAGCAGCUAGGAAUCUUGGGAAUGGGCGAAAGCCUGACCCAGCAACGCCGCGUGGGCGAUGAAGGCCUUC
This 377-nucleotide ribosomal RNA is filed under the name uncultured bacterium. Its description in RNAcentral is "bacterial SSU rRNA". It matches the Rfam family "Bacterial small subunit ribosomal RNA", at positions 28 to 419 of the family's 1533-position model. The record is from RNAcentral.